UACGGAGGGUGCAAGCGUUAUCCGGAUUCACUGGGCGUAAAGGGUGCGCAGGCGGUCAGGUGUGUCAGAUGUGAAAGCUCCGGGCUUAACCCGGAAAUUGCGUCUGAAACUAUCUGGCUAGAGUAUUGGAGAGGGAAGCGGAAUUCUCGGUGUAGCGGUGAAAUGCGUAGAUAUCGGGAGGAACACCUGUGGCGAAGGCGACCCCCUGGUUGGAUACUGACGCUGAUACGCGAAAGCGUGGGGAGCAAACAGG
This 253-nucleotide ribosomal RNA is filed under the name uncultured bacterium. RNAcentral's name for it is "partial 16S ribosomal RNA". It matches the Rfam family "Bacterial small subunit ribosomal RNA", at positions 524 to 776 of the family's 1533-position model. The record is from RNAcentral.